This 253-nucleotide ribosomal RNA is filed under the name uncultured bacterium. Its description in RNAcentral is "partial 16S ribosomal RNA". It matches the Rfam family "Bacterial small subunit ribosomal RNA", at positions 524 to 776 of the family's 1533-position model. The record is from RNAcentral.
UACGGAGGGUGCAAGCGUUAAUCGGAAUUACUGGGCGUAAAGCGCACGCAGGCGGUUUGUUAAGUCAGAUGUGAAAUCCCCGAGCUUAACUUGGGAACUGCAUUUGAAACUGGCAAGCUAGAGUCUUGUAGAGGGGGGUAGAAUUCCAGGUGUAGCGGUGAAAUGCGUAGAGAUCUGGAGGAAUACCGGUGGCGAAGGCGGCCCCCUGGACAAAGACUGACGCUCAGGUUCGAAAGCGUGGGGAGCAAACAGG